Non-coding RNA from Sesamum indicum (sesame), 2367 nucleotides. The record is from RefSeq and is a predicted model, not a curated record. NCBI's taxonomy places the organism in Eukaryota, Viridiplantae, Streptophyta, Magnoliopsida, Lamiales, Pedaliaceae.
GGGUGGAGGGAGGGGUGGAAUGAAGGGGGGGAGUGUGGUUGAGUGAGGUGAAGAGUGAGGAUGGUUUGUUGUUUGAGGUUUUGUGGGCGAGAGUGCCACGUCAUAUAUUUACUGAAUUUAAUUGCGGGUGGUGGGUGCACACACAGAGUUUGGGAGUUGGUUUGUAAUUGUACCUUUUUUAACUUGAGAGACUUAGGAUCACGUGGUGCCGCACGUGAUACUGCUUGACUAUACUAUUGGUGGGUUUGCAGGUCGAUGGGGCGUUGUAUUGUUGAUUGAUGCGGCAUUUAAAUUUAAUUUUAUGAAAUGAUGAUGAUGAUGAUGAGGAUGAGGAUGUGGGUUCCUACUUCCUAGUCCAGGUGUAGAGGAUCGAGUAUGAAAUAUUCGCAAAUAUUUGACUUUUUUCUUUUUGGGGAGUGGGAGUGUGAGUGCGUGGAAUGGAUGAAUUAAAUUAUAAUAAAUAAUAAAUAAACAUAAAAUAAAAGAAUGGUAUGUAUCUUGUUGCAAGAUUACAUAAUGUAUGAAUCCAUUGAAAUAUCCAAACGCGGUUUAUUUUGAAAACAUAUUCUGAAUAUUUAGUGAUUAGAAAAUUAAUAGUUGUUUUAGAACAAAUAAUAUUUUUAUUAAUGUGAUAGUGAUAGUAUGAGAUUGAGGAGCAGAAGGAAGAUUUGGAUUUGUGGACGUGGUGAUGAAAUGAAGAUGUGAAUGGUUGACAAAGAAAAGGGCCAAUUAAGGGUCAAAUAUGGGCUUAGACCACUCCCACUCCCACUCUUCACUACAUCCAAUCAACUACUGUACUAAUAAUGCAUUGCUGUUCCACCCGGGUUAGGGUUUUAACAUCCCUCUUCUAUUUCACAAAUUGCCACCUCAAAAUUCGCCUAAAUGUUUCCGGGAUUCUUUAUUUGGAAAUCAGACGACGCGGCGGCGCUUAUGCAGCUCUAGACCCACCUUCGCUGCUUGCCUUCCUCUCAUCCCCUACAUUUUUCCCUACUUCUCCCAUCAAAAUCAACAACUUUAACUCUGCUUUCUACCUCUGCUAUCCUGAAUUUACUCUGAAUUUUUUUGGUGAAUACAUUUUACUAAUUCUACGUCCCUAUUUGGCUCGACCUUGUGUGUCUCAAUUCAUUUCUCACUUUUGAUUAUUAGUUGUCACGUGUUUCUUUGUUACUUGUGUUCCUGCCUUACACUCCCUCCCUCCAUCCACCCAUUCCAAUUUUCUAAUAUUGUUCAUUGCCGUAUCGUAUUGGUCUUUGAUAUUUAUGAUAUCAAAUGGCUUCUGUGUAAUAUGUUGCCUUCACUAUAUGAUUGUCUUCUUUGUUACACUUGAUUGAUCCACCCUUAUUCACUAAUGCAUUUGAAUUAUUAGUCAGAUUAGCUGUUUGGGUGUUGGGAUGUGGAGUUGGUGAAUUGUAAUAAAACAAGUGCUCAACAUGGGACCUGUUGUGUGAAGCAAUUGUCAAGUUGAGUUUUUUUUGCAAACCCAUUGUAAACAACGGCUUUAAUUAGCUCAUGUGUGUUUUUUCUUUUUUAGACCUCCCAAUUUCAUUCGAUUAUGUCGUUUCUAAGUUCUACUUUGUCCUUCUCCCCAAGCUUUAUCCUAACAGUCUUUUUACCCCCCACCCUCCCAAACAAGAUUCCUUGAAUACAAGUUUAAAACAGAAUAAGGAGAAGAAGAGAAGACACCUGCCCUUACACUUUCUUGCAGAUAUUCACAGCACCAAGAAGAAAGAAAGCUUGUGUUGAAAGAAAAUCUUCAAUCAAGUCUGUUAUAACCUAUCUCCCAUUGCAUCGGCUUUGUAUUCCCAUGUUGAUUAUCGUUAGGAGCUUAAUUCGUAGAAAGUUUGUGAUGGGAAUAGUAAAAGUAGUAUUGAAUCAAGAGAAUAGGAUCUCAAGCUAUUAAUAUACAUACCUGAAGGAGGGAAGAAAAUCAGAAAAUACAAGCAAAAGAUAUAUAAGUUUGGCUGGAGGUGUUCCUUUGCUCUUGACUCUGUCUCAGUUAUAAGCAUGUUGCAGCUGGCAAGAACUUCAUCAUACAAAAAAGAACUUUACCGCUUCCUUCAAAACCAGAUCAAGAUAUCAUUUUUCGAGUGCAUUAGGACCAUUGGUAUAUUUAUCACAUCAAAAUUAGCAAUAGUAGUUUGUAUAAAUCAAUUGGUAAGCAUGCCAAAGAAGGGUCAUGCCUGCUGCAUACUAAACACUAAGCUCCAUCAAUUUUGAGAAGAUGAAGCAGCUUCAAAUUGUCUAUAACACUUGUCGAUAUCCGAAAUGGUGAUGAUGGAAGAUCCACAUCAUGAUGUAUACGUUGUAAUAUUCUAACUAUUGAGGAUAAUGUAAUAAUGCUCUAGAAUAGGAAUAAUUGCAUAUUAA